Long non-coding RNA from Crotalus tigris (Tiger rattlesnake), 2033 nucleotides. RefSeq lists it as uncharacterized. NCBI's taxonomy places the organism in Eukaryota, Metazoa, Chordata, Lepidosauria, Squamata, Viperidae. The transcript is spliced from 4 exons. The record is from RefSeq and is a predicted model, not a curated record.
UACUGCUUCUGGAGGACCGGGAGGGGGAAAUUGAGUCCUGAUACCCAGAGGCUUCCUCUUGGGAAAGGCGGGAGCCACCCUUUGAAGCCACAGACCCUAUUCUGGUGUCUUGAAGAGGCCAUGGCCUGAGCGACGGCCUGAGAUAUCAGGGAUUGUAAGUGUUCUGAUGAGUGCUCCAUGAUUGUCUGAAAUACGGGUGCCUGUUUCUGUCCCCGGACCUCCAGGCUCCUCAUAUAGGGGAGAUCCACUACCCUGCUCCGCGUCAGCCUCUGCUUCCAGAGGUUCCUGAUUAGGCGUUCUCGGGCGAAAUAUUUCCUCCUCCUUGUAACUAGGUGGUUCUAGUCCCUCCUCCACUGAGCUUUGCCUCUUCUCAGCUUUAGAAAACUGUUUUUCCAGAGCCUGGUGACGACGUUUGGCCUCCCUAUCCGCUGUCUUAGAAGGUCUUUUACCAGAAAUUGCCCUGGCUUUGAUCCUACCAGCCGCCUCCUGCUUGGAUGAUUUUUGUCUCUUACGACCAGGGGGGGUUUAUGGAGGCUUCCUGCUCUGACUGGAUAGCAUUUGUGUCUGCCAUUUGUCAAUGGGAUAUAUCCCAAUGCAAGUCUAAGAGAGAGAUAAUUUAUUUUAUUUUAUUUUUUUCAAUAUUUAAUGUUUAAUAUUAUUGGAUGGAGGCUAGGGAUAGCGGAGGAAGAUUCUGUCCUUGAAUAGAUUUCCUCAGCUCGGCUGAGUCCCCCGAGCUCGUUAGAAGCCUCCUUCUCUCUGCCUGCUGGCUGAGCUCCAGGAAAAAAAACUAGAAGCCUUCUUGUGCUCCGCCUGCUGGCUGAACUCCAGGAAAACAAAAGAAAGGCGCAUGGCAAUUUAAAGCUCCCUGCCGACUGGCUGAGCUUCAGAAAGAGAGAUAGAGAGCUAUUGAUGGAAGCCGCAGGAGCCCUGGACUAAAGCCGCGGAUCAGCUGGACUAAAAGGUAGAGCCGCGGGAGAUCUGAGCUUCGACAAAAAAAGCUCCACAUGAUAGUCAUGUGGAACAUGGGAGUACUCUGGAAGCAAGAUGCACUGGACUGAUGUUACCCAGUUUGGUAAUAAAAUGUCUGCAAGAAAACACCCAAGCUUAGAAAGCACCAAGGACCCUGCAGUUCAACGCCAGGCUACCAAAUAUUUUCUUCUAUCAGUAUUGUUAAAACUCUUUGCUUUGGUAUUGGAACCAGAAAAGCAGAAACACGCCAUUCUGAAUAACAACAACAACACAACAACAAAAAACUAAGGCUGGUGCAAAGACAAUGUUUCAGGAAGAACAUCUUAUUUGGAAUGCCUGAAAAGUUAUAUAAAGCAGCCACUUCACCAUCGCCUAUAAAUCUUGAAGAGGUCUUUGCUUAAAGCCAAGCAAAGCUCUAAAGCUCCUUUGCAAAACAAUGAGGUCUUUUGCUUCUAAAAUGAAGUGAUCAGAUUGCAUUAUUUUGUUCUUCCAUCCAGCCCUACAAGACUUGCAUAAGUUGGGAAAAUGUUCUGCACGUGUACAGUAUCUUCUAGCUUUUGUAUACGCUACUGGCCACUGGCAAAGAUUGGAAGAUACUAUGAGACUAUGUGAAGUACUUUUCUGAACAUAUCACAUUGUCUUUUUGCUUCAUCAAAAAGAAUUAUAUCACCUGUACCACAAAGCUCUUCUUCCAGGCAAACUCUGUACAAGCUUAAUGCAGUUAUUUUAUUUUAUUGUGAGAAGUACAUUUCCUGGUGGGAUACAUUGCAUUCUCACCUGGUCUUAAUUACACCAAUAAACACACAAUUAUAGCAUAUUUUGCUCCUGGGCAGUUAGAAAGAAAUAAAAUUACAAAUGAGUUUCCAGAUAUAUUUUCAAUGGUGUAUUUCAUCCAGAAACAAAGUGGCAAAUAAACAAACAAUCUUUAUUUAUAAAGGGAGAAGAGCCUACCAUACAUAUUAUUUACAACAAAACUAAUGGCUUGGAACACUAAAAACUGAAGAAUCAAUUGACUGAAAUAUCCCUAAUGUACUUUUAAAGAAAAUAAAGAGGUAUUAAAAUUA